CACUUUUCUUGUUUUCCUCAAAGGAGAAAAUUAAAAAAAAAAAACAAAAACCAAACAAAAAAAAGUGAAAAAAUUGUAUAGUAAAAAAAAAGAAAAUUAUUUAUUGAAAUGUUUAUUAUUAAUAUACCUCUUCUUCUUUUAUAAAUUAUCUUUGUAAUAUUUAUAAGAAAAAAAUUAAUCAAAAUUUCGAGCAUCGAAGUGCCUUCCUGUCUGUUUGACGUACCGAAACUGUUCUAUAGAAGAAAAUUGGGACAUUUUUUUUUUUUUUUGCAUUAAUUUUAUCAAACACUGCCGUGAAUGUAUGGUUAUAUUACUUAAGUGCAGCAUUAAACUCAUGCAAUUUCUAUAAUAUAUUAACUAUCCUUCAGAAAACUUCAGCUAUCUUGAAGAAGAAAGAAACAGCAAACGUUCUUCCAUAUUUGUGUUUUGAAAUAAAUUUACGAUCUCCUCGAACAUGUUUUCGUAUUUUUUGGCGUUUUUCUAUGUAUUCCUCUUGCCGAGUAUAACUUCUUCUAAGAUUUCUUGCAUGCAUUACUGCAAAGAAAAUUCUUCGUUCUCCAACAGCGGCUGCACGCACUACGGAGAUGUGCAAUUGUAUAAAAAAAAAUGCAAUAUAAUAAAAAGACUGAAUCCGAAAAUAUACUUAUUAACGAAUCAACGUAUUCUAAAUAUUGUGAAGGUGAUUAUAUAAAUUUUAUAUAUUAAAUAAGAUUAAUAAUAAAAGUG
Molecule: long non-coding RNA, 726 nt
Filed under: Androctonus crassicauda
Lineage: Eukaryota; Metazoa; Arthropoda; Arachnida; Scorpiones; Buthidae
Source: RNAcentral